GGGCCGGGAGGCUGGUCCCUGGCUGAGCCCUGCCCCGCCCGGGGUGCGGCUGCAGGGCAGCAGGAGGAAGCCGCAGCGGUUCCGGGCACAGAUCGCGCCGCCCGGAGCCUGCAGCCGCCGCCGGCAGGAGCGGCCGGACCGGAGGGGCGGAGCUGGGAAGAUCUGUGGCCGCCCAGAGAAGUGAGCUGGGGCCGAGCCCGUUGGCCUGGGUCAGGGUGCCCUGUGGAUGGGCGUGGUGCAGACUUAGCUCCCUGUGCCGUAGUUUGCCCGGUGGCUGGAGGCACCGCAGCAGGAGAGGACCUGUGAGAACUCGUCUUGCCGCAGGGGAACAUGCAGCGUGGUGGCAUGACUGUUGAGAACCCCUACGCCAGCGUGAAUAUUCCGCGAGAUCAGCUCGAGAACAGCUUCAUUAAGCGCUACCUGGGGGAGGCGCCGCCCUCGCCCACUGUCAUUGUUAAUCCCGGGGCCGUGCCCACCUACCCAGCCCCAGAGCAGCUGAAUGGUGCCGGUAAAUCGGUGCCACUGGAUAGUUGGGAAGGUUCAAAAGUCCUGACGCGGGAGUCCUGGGCCCAGCCGUAUAACCCGUAUGCCAGCAUGAAGCUGCUGAACGGCGCUUCCUCGGCCCCGCUCUACACCAUCGAGCUAGACAAGCCCCAGAAGAGUCCUGAGGUGGGCACGGACAGUGGCUGCUGCUGCUGUAAGUACUGGCCCUGCUGCCGGAAAUGCUGCUGUGUCGUCUCCUAACCCCACGAGCCCUGACCCCUUGCCACACCCGGCCUGGAGCUGGGAUCCUGCAGCAAGCGGGGCUGGGAUGGACAGCCCCAGCUAGGAUGCCCAUCCUAGUAGGAACUGGGGGACGCCUCGGGGGGCAGCCGGAGCCCACAGCAGCCUUGCAGUCUCCUGAGACUCUCCGUGAUCUUUGGCUCUCUUGGGGAUGCUCGGCGUGGAGAGGGGGGGUGACUAUUUUUGCCCUGGUUGCAGGGCGGCUUUCUAGACCUUGUUUAUCCUAUGGAAAGUGAGCUCAGGUGCCAGGGUGAUGGGCAUGUAGCAGUGAUGUGCUGCCAGGAUCGUGGCCAGGCCUCGGGGGAGUUGCAAGACAUGCUGAUGAAGCCUGGAGUGCCUCGUGCAGUGCCCUGUGGUGGAAACUCGACCGCUUGCUCCCACUUACUGUCUGGCUGGGGAACAGCCCUGAUGCAACAGACCAUGCAGCUGUGCUGACCCCCACGCAGACAAAGACAUGCCCGGGUAUCACCCAUUGCAGAAGCAAGAACCUGAGCGUGGGGGGGCCUGAGCGGUGUUUUAUGGGUGCUUGUGGAUUCUCACUGCCCCUCCCCGUGGCUGGGGCAUGCUGGUACAGUCUCGCCUAGCUGCGGAGGCUGCGUGCCUCUUGAUUCUGUGGGGAAAUGGCCUUGCAAACCAAGGCCUUGUCUACACACAACAGUCAUGGGUAAUGUGGUACAAUUCUCUGGUGUGGCUGCAGGUAGACUGGCGGACAGGUGCUCAUACUGGCCUAGCAUUCCGGUAGGGGACGGGAAUGAGCUGUACUGGUACAAAGCACCUGGGUCCUGCUCUAGCUGUGUCCACGCUAGGACUUGGGCUGGUAGAACUGGGUAGGUAACGCUCACGCCCCUGACCCACACGGUUGAGAGGUACAAACUCUGUUUGCUAAGCAGGCUGGAAUGAGGAUCCUGCCAGUCCCUGCCUGCUCACCCGCCCGACAAAAGAAGGAAACACCCCCCGGAAAAACAAACAAACAAAACCGCUUGGAGAAUGUGCUGGGCUCUGCUCUGGGGACGUGCCAUGGCUGGAGACAUUGGCCUCUGGGUCUGAACUCACAGUGGUAGGAGACUCUUCUGACACCACCCCCCUCGGUGCUGGGGCCAAGCAUGGCUGGCGGGAGCUGCUUUCCAGGGGCUGGGCACUUGUACCCCCAGCUUGGUCUGGAGAGGGGGCAGCAGGCCUGCCCUGCUCUACGUGGCACUAACACCGGCUUUUGGUGUUAGUGCCAGUGCUGCUGUGGGACUAGGGCAGGCUGCAGAGGAGGGUUCAGAAUGAAACGGGGAGGGGAGGGAGUGGGACAAGGGGUGUGGAGUCCUCUCGGCCCCAGUCAGCUGUGCAGGACCUGCCAGACUCCAAGGUGCUGGGGUUGUCAGAUAGCCAGGAGUAGGGUGUAAUGAAGUCAUUGGGUCUGCUCCCUUGGGGGAGUUUCUAAAGCAGAAGCCCCAGCCCUGAUGUGGGGGGCAGGGCCCUGGGGAGUAGCGGUGCUGGGCAGAGGGGCGCCAGCUGGCUGGCUAAUGAGCAAGGGGAAUGAGGCAGCACCUCUCUGCCCUUUACAUGGGCGCCCCUUCCCAUGCUUUGCAGCUGGCUGAUUGCUGCUCAGUCCCUCUGCAGCUUGUCAGUGGCACCCCAGACUUGGCUUUCCUGCCAGAAGUCAUGCGUGCUCUGUGCAAGGCCAAGUGGUUUGCAUGUGAAACCUGAACCAGACCCAGUGUUGUCCUUCAUAAACAGCCUCAUGCAGCGCUGGUCCUAGCGGCUGCAGCUGCCGGCUGCGACCUGCCUCACAGGUGAGUUUCUCCUCUAGACAAGGGGUGUUUCUCUUGCAGCAGCUGCACUGUGAAAGUGCUGGCACAGCCGGGGUCCAGGGGGUUUGGGGCACGGUGGUAAAACUCCCCGAGCCCUGUGCUAGCGCUUGCCCCAUUGCUAGACCUGCUGCAUCACGGGCCACUGUCUCUGGGGCAAGCGCCCUGACUGAGUGGUGCUGCAGCAGUGGGAGGGACCAUGCCCAGGUCCUAGGUGCAGAAUCUCAGCUUGCCCGGCUAGGAAGAUUCUAACCGUUGUGUAGGCUGGGUAGAAUUCAGCGUUUAUUUGUUUGUGAUCUCUACAGAUAGUAUCAAGGUUUAUUUGUAAGAAUAUUUUUAGUUUUAUUGAUUUAAAUUUUCACAGUAGGGGAGGUUAUUGGAGGGCCAGAAAAUGGAAGGUCAGACAAUUAUUUAAUUACAGUGGACGAUGAGAUUAAAAAUGUUAAAGGUUUAUAACCAUUAAAACACAAAUUGUGGAAGUAUACAAAGUAAGUAGGCAAUGUAAGAGAAAUGCUGCUUUGAUAUAAGGCAAUCUGCACAUUUGGGGUAUUACCAAUGGAAAUGUUUUGGUCAUUUGGGUGUGUAUGGUGAAAUCGAUGGUCAUGGAUAUUUACCGAUAAAAGUCGAAUCCUUCCCACCCUGUUCUGAGAGGUGUGAACAGCCCGGCCCACCCUCUUGAUGUGUGCUGACUCAAACCUAAUGAUGUCAGCAUGUAACUAUUUCACUGCUGAUCACUGUAGCAGAAACACCCGGCUAAUAUUUGCUCACCCUAACCCUUGCUGCCUCCCAGAUAACCCCAGGUACCAAAAGCUCCCUCUGUCUCCUGCCCAGCUGCCAGAACUUCCCCAGGAGUGUUUCCAGCCCAGCACUCUGCAGCAGGGGACGGUGGAAUGGAAUCUCCCUGGGAUGCUGGGGGGUGGGGUUCUGUGCUGCAGAGCUCCAGCUCGUUGUGGCCUUCACCUAAGUGCAUUGAGCCAGGAUUGCCCACAAGGAGUGACCCAGCAGCCCAUCUGUGCCUCUUGUCCCUCAGCUGCGUCGCUCCCCCCCCAGGUAAUCUAGAGCAAUAGGCCAGUUGUACUCCAACUAGUGCCUCCAAAGAUCAGUUUGUCCCUUGCCAGGCGAGUGUGAACGCUCCGGCCACCCUCACCGGUCCCUGGAUCACAAGCUGCAGUGUAAAGAGCGUUGCAUGGGGUGUCCAGCCCCUGUCUCUGCAGGAAGCUGCAGCGCAUGCCUCCCAUAGACCCCCAGGGUGAGGCCUGGGGCUUGCCUGCCGGGGUGCCAUGCAGCCGCGUAGCCAGGACUGGAUGCUGCUGCCAGCUCUAUAUGGUUUCAAUGGGCAUUGUGUGCAAAUGGCUACAGGACUGCCCUUGCUGGGACACGGCUGCACAGGUGCUGUCUAUAACACGGCUGUGGCAGGACCCAGUUCCCAGCAGGGCUCACCCUGGACCCGGUUAAAGCCCGGAUCUGGUUUGAUUGCACCUAACGUGUGCUAAAGCCUUGGGCUGUCCACAGAGCGCCUGUGCUGGGAAUGGGGCUCUGGCUCAGCCCGUGCUCUCGGACCCAGAUCAUCCCAGCCUGUGUGGAGCAGGUGAAUCAGGAUUUCACUGUAGUUGGCUCAGGUGGCUGCUGAACAAUGCCUGGGCCCUGCUGAGAAAUCUGGCAGUUCUUGGUGCCCCGUCACUGUUGCUGUGAAUAAAGUAAUUUGACCAGUGUC
Molecule: long non-coding RNA, 4293 nt
Organism: Mauremys mutica (yellowpond turtle)
Lineage: Eukaryota; Metazoa; Chordata; Testudines; Geoemydidae
Exons: 2
Source: RefSeq, a predicted model, not a curated record